This 492-nucleotide ribosomal RNA is filed under the name uncultured bacterium. RNAcentral describes it as "partial 16S ribosomal RNA". It matches the Rfam family "Bacterial small subunit ribosomal RNA", at positions 29 to 507 of the family's 1533-position model. The record is from RNAcentral.
AGUGAACGCUGGCGGUAGGCCUAACACAUGCAAGUCGAACGGCAGCACAGUAAGAGCUUGCUCUUACGGGAGGCGAGUGGCGGACGGGUGAGGAAUACAUCGGAAUCUACUUUUUCGUGGGGGAUAACGUAGGGAAACUUACGCUAAUACCGCAUACGACCUACGGGUGAAAGCAGGGGAUCUUCGGACCUUGCGCGAUUGAAUGAGCCGAUGUCGGAUUAGCUAGUUGGCGGGGGAAAGGCCCACCCAGGCGACGCUCCGUAGCUUGUCUGAGAGGGAGACGAGACACACGGGGACAGAGACACGGUCCAGACGCAUACGGGAGGCAGCAGUGGGGAGUAUUGCACAAUGGGCGCAAGUCUGAUGCUGCCCUGCCGUGUGAAUGAAGAAGGCCUUCUGGUUGUAAAGGACUUUCAGCGGGGAGGAAGGGAGUAAAGGUAACAACUUUGCUCAUUGACGUUACCCGCAGAAGAAGCACGGGCUCGCUCCGUG